Molecule: ribosomal RNA, 483 nt
Filed under: uncultured bacterium
Lineage: Bacteria
Description: partial 16S ribosomal RNA
Rfam family: Bacterial small subunit ribosomal RNA
Source: RNAcentral
AUUGAACGCUGGCGGCAGGCCUAACACAUGCAAGUCGAGCGGAUGAAGGGAGCUUGCUCCUGGAUUCAGCGGCGGACGGGUGAGUAAUGCCUAGGAAUCUGCCUGGUAGUGGGGGAUAACGUCCGGAAACGGGCGCUAAUACCGCAUACGUCCUGAGGGAGAAAGUGGGGGAUCUUCGGACCUCACGCUAUCAGAUGAGCCUAGGUCGGAUUAGCUAGUUGGUGGGGUAAAGGCCUACCAAGGCGACGAUCCGUAACUGGUCUGAGAGGAUGAUCAGUCACACUGGAACUGAGACACGGUCCAGACUCCUACGGGAGGCAGCAGUGGGAAAUAUUGGACAAUGGGCGAAAGCCUGAUCCAGCCAUGCCGCGUGUGUGAAGAAGGUCUUCGGAUUGUAAAGCACUUUAAGUUGGGAGGAAGGGCAGUAAGUUAAUACCUUGCUGUUUUGACGUACCAACAGAAUAAGCACCGGCUAACUUCGUG